This 253-nucleotide ribosomal RNA is filed under the name uncultured bacterium. Its description in RNAcentral is "partial 16S ribosomal RNA". It matches the Rfam family "Bacterial small subunit ribosomal RNA", at positions 524 to 776 of the family's 1533-position model. The record is from RNAcentral.
UACGGAGGAUGCAAGCGUUAUCCGGAAUGAUUGGGCGUAAAGCGUCCGCAGGUGGCAAUGUAAGUCCGCUGUCAAAGCGUCUGGCUCAACCAGAUAAAGGCAGUGGAAACUACAUAGCUAGAGUAAGGUAGGGGUAGAGGGAAUUCCUGGUGUAGCGGUGAAAUGCGUAGAGAUCAGGAAGAACACCGGUGGCGAAAGCGGCAUCCUGGACCGACACUGACGCUGAGGAGCGAAAGCCAGGGGAGCAAACGGG